Molecule: long non-coding RNA, 970 nt
Organism: Micropterus salmoides (largemouth bass)
Lineage: Eukaryota; Metazoa; Chordata; Actinopteri; Centrarchiformes; Centrarchidae
Exons: 3
Source: RefSeq, a predicted model, not a curated record
AGAAAGAACAAAUGCAAGGCUGUGUUUAAUGUCAAACAAUGCCAUUUGUUUUGAUAUCAUUGAAAUCAUAUUUGUUUCUGCCUUUGCACAGAAUUGUAAAGUAGGAUCUUGUCACAUUUUUGGUGCUGUAUAUACAUAUGUAUAUACAAUAUACUGUGGUUAUGAACAUGUUAUCAAUGCAAAUUUAUAACUUAUUUGCUUUUCAUUUGUUUCUUGUUGUGGUAGACAAGAAAUUGAGAUAAAUGAGAAAGACAUAGAGAGACAGCUUGGAAGAGUGGGAGGAAAAACAAGAGACAACAAGAGUGUUUAUGACAAAGAGAGAGGCAGAUUACAACACACUGAAAAGUGACAGAGUGUGAAAGAGGAAGACAGCUUCAACUCAUAAUGCAUUUCCUUAAAGGGACUAUAUGUACUGAUUGGGGAAUCAGGUGCAGCUGCUGCCCAUUACUAGUUGCACCUGCAAGGCAGGAGGGGGAAGGGAAGUACCUGGAGAACUUCAGGAGAAAGACGCACCAAAACAAAACACAGGGCCCACGGCUCUAGGGCCGUAACAGGACAGCAGGUUCCAGGAUUCUCCUUUUGAAUGCAGCCAUUAACAGUCAUGUGAACUGAUAAUGAGGACACUGAAAUAUUGGAAACUGAAGGGUGGAAAGAAGUGCAGAUGACAGCUUUAUGGUUGAUCACACAAAAAGGGGCAGGAUGUCCUGUCCUAAUAUUGCUGCUAAGCUGUGUUUUAUGGUCUAAAUUCAAAACAGCCAGAACAAUAAAUGUGUUUUUUGUUUAUCAUUGCCAAAUUACCUUUAGGCAAAAAUAUGGCUUCAUUAAAGCCCCAAUUCUGGAUGCUGUUUUCUUUCUUCUGUUUUCUCUGUUGCUGUCCACUUUCACAUUCAAAUAUAUGAGCUUUGUGUAUUACAUUUUCAUAACAGCCUUUAGUUAAAUAUACUUUUGCCAUAACAAUAAAGAAGCAAUA